AUUCCAGCUCCAAUAGCGUAUAUUAAAGUCGUUGCAGUUAAAAAGCUCGUAGUUGAACUUCAGAUCCGGCUGGGCGGUCUGCCUAACGGUGUGUACUGUCCGGCUGGGUCUUACCUCUUGGUGAGCCGGCAUGCCCUUUAUUGGGUGUGUCGGGGAACCAGGACUUUUACCUUGAGAAAAUUAGAGUGUUCAAAGCAGGCCUAUGCCCGAAUACAUUAGCAUGGAAUAAUAAAAUAGGAUGUGCGGUUCUAUUUUGUUGGUUUCUAGAGUCGCCGUAAUGAUUAAUAGGGAUAGUUGGGGGCAUUAGUAUUCAGUUGCUAGAGGUGAAAUUCUUGGAUUUACUGAAGACUAACUAUUGCGAAAGCAUUUGCCAAGGAUGUUUUCAUUA
This 388-nucleotide ribosomal RNA is filed under the name Resinicium sp. RNAcentral describes it as "partial small subunit ribosomal RNA". It matches the Rfam family "Eukaryotic small subunit ribosomal RNA", at positions 582 to 975 of the family's 1831-position model. Lineage: Eukaryota; Fungi; Basidiomycota; Agaricomycetes; Hymenochaetales. The record is from RNAcentral.